GAGAGUCAAAGAGUGCUUGAAAUUGUCGGGAGGGAAGCGGAUGGGGGCCGGCGAUGCGCCUCGGUCGGAUGCGGAACGGCGAGAGCCGGUCCGCCGAUCGACUCGGGGCGCGGACCGAUGCGGAUUGCGGCGGCGGCCCAAGCCCGGGCUGUUGAUAUGCCCGUGGAGACGUCGUCGCCGCGAUUGUGGUAGGCAGCGCGCGCCGUCCCGGCGUGCCUCGGCAUCUGCGCGCUCCUGGCGUCGGCCCGCGGGCUCCCCAUUCGGCCCGUCUUGAAACACGGACCAAGGAGUCUGA
Molecule: ribosomal RNA, 295 nt
Filed under: Cecropia hispidissima
Lineage: Eukaryota; Viridiplantae; Streptophyta; Magnoliopsida; Rosales; Urticaceae
Description: partial large subunit ribosomal RNA
Rfam family: Eukaryotic large subunit ribosomal RNA
Source: RNAcentral